UCCAACCCCUGUGACAUACCACUUGUUGCCUCGGCGGAUCAGCCCGCUCCCGGUAAAACGGGACGGCCCGCCAGAGGACCCCUAAAACUCUGUUUCUAUAUGUAACUUCUGAGUAAAACCAUAAAUAAAUCAAAACUUUCAACAACGGAUCUCUUGGUUCUGGCAUCGAUGAAGAACGCAGCAAAAUGCGAUAAGUAAUGUGAAUUGCAGAAUUCAGUGAAUCAUCGAAUCUUUGAACGCACAUUGCGCCCGCCAGUAUUCUGGCGGGCAUGCCUGUUCGAGCGUCAUUUCAACCCUCAAGCACAGCUUGGUGUUGGGACUCGCGUUAAUUCGCGUUCCUCAAAUUGAUUGGCGGUCACGUCGAGCUUCCAUAGCGUAGUAGUAAAACCCUCGUUACUGGUAAUCGUCGCGGCCACGCCGUUAAACCCCAACUUCUGAAUGUUGACCUCGGAUCAGGUAGGAAUACCCGCUGAACUUAAGCAUAUCAAUAAGCGGAGGA
This 499-nucleotide ribosomal RNA is filed under the name Fusarium oxysporum. Its description in RNAcentral is "eukaryotic LSU rRNA". The stretch from base 134 to 287 matches the Rfam family "5.8S ribosomal RNA". The record is from RNAcentral. Lineage: Eukaryota; Fungi; Ascomycota; Sordariomycetes; Hypocreales; Nectriaceae.